GUUGUGGCUCAGCGGUAGAGCGCUCGCCUAGCAAGUGCAAGGCCCUGGGUUCGAUCCUCAGCACACA
RNAcentral lists this transfer RNA (67 nucleotides) under Marmota monax (woodchuck). RNAcentral's name for it is "tRNA.Ala". It matches the Rfam family "tRNA", at positions 6 to 65 of the family's 71-position model. From Rfam's summary of the family: Transfer RNA (tRNA) molecules are approximately 80 nucleotides in length. Their secondary structure includes four short double-helical elements and three loops (D, anti-codon, and T loops). The record is from RNAcentral. Lineage: Eukaryota; Metazoa; Chordata; Mammalia; Rodentia; Sciuridae.